GUUGAGAGAGACUUCAUCCCAGAAUAGCCAAUACCCCAGAGCAGGAAUUUGAACCGAGGUCUCUCCCUGAAAAAUACAACAGAUGUUACUGCUGUGUUGGUAUUCCAAGAAGGAUGAUCUGCUGACUGGUCUGGAUUUCUGGGCUUUAGUCAAGUAACAGCCUUGCAAAAAGGACACGUUUGACACUCAACUGGAGUCUUGUUCUUCUUUCUCUUUUACGUAAUCACUGCUGCUGAGGUAUCAGUAUCAAGGCACAGCGGAGUUGUAAACAAGGAAUUUACAAUUCUGUAAGAGAAGCACCACACAAUGGGGGAUUGCUCAACCCUGUGACUCAGCAAAACCCACCAGGACGUGUCUGGGCUAAUGUUUUCCAAGCACAUGGACUGAGGAUAUAAAAUAAGGGACAGUGGCAUCAUGCUUUUGCCUUUCUCCUCCUCCACCUACCCGGGAAGCAACAAGAACGCUGGGAAGACAAAGACUUGAACUGUGUAGACUGGUCCCAGGCUUAAAGGGGAAGCCUGUGUAUUAAGAACUGUCACUUAGCUACAACAUCCAGUAGGGUGAGAAAAAUUGCUUGAUCCAAAUACUGCCUAGUUUAAUAAGGUUUAAGAUUUAGACUGUAUGCUUAA
Molecule: long non-coding RNA, 629 nt
Organism: Malaclemys terrapin pileata
Lineage: Eukaryota; Metazoa; Chordata; Testudines; Emydidae
Exons: 3
Source: RefSeq, a predicted model, not a curated record